GAUGAACGCUGGCGGCGUGCCUAAUACAUGCAAGUCGAGCGAACAGACGAGGAGCUUGCUCCUCUGACGUUAGCGGCGGACGGGUGAGUAACACGUGGAUAACCUACCUAUAAGACUGGGAUAACUUCGGGAAACCGGAGCUAAUACCGGCUAAUAUUUUGAACCGCAUGGUUCAAUAGUGAAAGACGGUUUUGCUGUCACUUAUAGAUGGAUCCGCGCCGCAUUAGCUAGUUGGUAAGGUAACGGCUUACCAAGGCAACACUGCGUAGCCGACCUGAGAGGGUGAUCGGCCACACUGGAACUGAGACACGGUCCAGACUACUACGGGAGGCAGCAGUAGGGAAUCUUCCACAAUGGGCGAAAGCUUGACGGAGCAACGCCGCGUGAGUGAUGAAGGUCUUCGGAUCGUAAAACUCUGUUAUUAGGGAAGAACAAAUGUGUAAGUAACUAUGCACGUCUUGACGGUACCUAAUCAGAAAGCCACGGCUAACUACGUG
RNAcentral lists this ribosomal RNA (497 nucleotides) under uncultured bacterium. RNAcentral's name for it is "partial 16S ribosomal RNA". It matches the Rfam family "Bacterial small subunit ribosomal RNA", at positions 28 to 507 of the family's 1533-position model. The record is from RNAcentral.